GUGCUUAGUGUCACUGAUAAAGGGCUAAAGGAAAGGUUGUUGAGGAAAGUGGAAACCUGAUCUGGGCUUGCAGAAAGGAAUAGGCAUUCACAGAGCCUCACCAGCCACAAAGACACAACUAGAGAUCCCGUCUGGGCCACAUACUAACAAGUUUGUAGAGGCUCUUACACAAAAGAAUACUCAUGGGGAGGGCCCAGCUGAUGGUGAGUCAGAGCAAAGCAGACAUCAACCACUCACACAAAAACUCUCUACACACUGUGGUACAACACACCUAGCCUAUGGAAAAACAUGCCACAAAUGUGGAAAAUUAAAUCUCUAUUCUAUUUGCAGAGCAACACACUUAUCUGUGGCUUUGCCUUUUGGGUCUCUGACUGAACUAGAAUGUGAACAAUCCCUUCUUGUGUGUACAGUAUCACAGGGAAACAGAAAUUAUAUAGCUCACUCACAGAACCUUGGUAUUCUUGACUGUAUGUAAGGAAGGUACCUAUGAAGUUUAAUCUUGAUAUUGGGGUGGAAGCUAAAUGUUUUCCAAUUCAGUGUUUGAGAAAGAUAGCAGGUCCCAUCUAGAUAAAGCAGCCUGAUGUUGUGCUUAUAGCAUAUGCUGAUACCAGAAUAUACUCUGAAGGGGAAGUCACUUUAACAACAGCAACUGUUAAAGCUAAGGUCAGUCGUCAAUUGAAGACUUCAUCACUAAGGCAUUUACAACACUACUGAUAGGCAGAGAAACCUGCAUAUGGGUACACCUAGUGUGUAUGAAUGAGUAUGCUGCACACCAAAGCACACAGCACUAAAGUAGAAUUGAUUGCACAAUACCUGGGAUUCUUCAGGGGACUAGGAGAGUUCUGUGGGAAGCAUCGCAUAUAUACAGACCCAUCAGUCACCCUUGUCAUACAGUACAUGGCUGCAGAACUGCACCUUUUGCAGUGACAGACUCAGAAAUUCACUCGGACAGUUAGAAAAGGAAAAAGUCAUAGCCAAAGUGAACUCACCCACUCCAUAGGUUAGCAGUUUAAUCAUAACUGGGACAAAAUAUGGCAAGACUGUCUUGAUCCCAGAUGCCUUAAGACUAUAUUGAGACAGCAUUAUUCUGUCCCCACACCAACAGAUGUCCAUUGCUGACUAGCUGGUAAAAAAGCGUAUUUAUUAUGCUAGAUAAGAAAGAUGGAUAUUGAUAAGUCACAUUAGAUAAUGAGUCAUAUGAUCUUUGCACUUUUACUACACUCUGGGACAGAUACAAGUUUCUCUGUUUACCUUUUGGAAUAAGAGAUACGGUGGUUCAGUAAAGAUAAUGCCAUAAUAAAUAGACAUGAGGAAUGACUAAGAGAACAUGCCGUUGUUUUCUGUUGUGUUCCAAUGGUUUGAGUUGCACCAUUUAUCUGCAUGCACACCAGCUGCCUUUAGGUGUAACUGUAUUGAAUGGUGGAGCAGUUGGAGCAAAUUGGCUGCUCUGUCACUGUGGUAUGAGGAGAGUUCCAUCUGUACUUUGAGGGAUCAAGUAUUCCUCAUUUCAGCACUGAGUUUGUAGGCUUUGUCAGUAGGGGGUGCUGGGAGUGUGUCUUGCUAUGGGGAUUGUCAGCCAUCUGGUGGUCUACAUGACUAGUCUCCAAGCCUUAGUGAGGAGUCAGUGAAGGCAGUGUCUCAGAAGAAAUCCUCAGGCUAAGGGUGAAGAGGCCUGGAAAGAAGGGACUCAGCAGGGGAGGAAGAAGAUGACAAAACUGAUCACUAGAGCUGAAGUUGCCGAUACCUAGGUGUGUGAGACCUGCUGUGGGGCAGUAUCCCCAGUGCAAGAGAUUGACCAGACUGCUUUAGUAACAAGGCUGCUCUUCUAACUGCUGAAAUUACUGAGAGGUGUGUUAAGUGGUGGGACAUCAAGGCAUUGCAGAGGUUGCAGUAGAGUGGCACAGUGGUGGCGUGAACAACGAUGUGGCCAGCCGCCGAGUGACUGGCAAUGAAGCAGCCAGUGGCAGGGUGAACAAUGAAGCAGUGGCAGCAGCAGGCAGCAACACAGAGUGAAUGGUUCAGCCCCUUCCCCAUACCCACUGUGGUGGGAGGUGAACUCACCUGAACGCACCUCUGAAUUCUGCAUCUUUGCUGACCAAGUACAACAACUGUGAGUGCAAUGUGGUGGAGGGAGAGGGGAGUGGCAUGUUAAAGGAACACUUGUUUGUCGGACUUUCACACUGCAAGGUGAGAACCUGAGGCAAAGAACACUGCCCAGUGUAUUGUGGGGUGGGGGUUUUGCUCACAGUCACAUGCUUGUGGCGUUUCCCCAGCUUAAUGCUGGCUUCCUUUUCCAUAGAACUUUUCCAUAGAAAAGUUUUCUUUUCUACACCAAGACUCAGUAUUUGCCAGAGGGGAAGUAUUGACUCUUAGAGGUGCCCAAGGGCAGUGUAAUUUUUCCCAGAUUACCGGUGGGGACUCAAGCCAGUUCUGUAUUCUAUUGUUAAGAGGGAUCCCUAGAUAUUGAACCCAACCUCACCUGGCAGAAGGGUUACAUUAGUAAAAACAGUUACUCUACUCUAAAGAGCUAAUGGAGAGGAUAGAGGCAGAUCUGUCAGAAAGGUGUUUGAGAACUGCCACAGUAUUAAAUGCAGGAUGGGAGUGACUGGGGUUUUAUUGUCAGGAUUAUUUUCCCUUUGUUAUAGACAAUCCUGAGAUACAACAUCCUCAUGCCCAAAAAGAUAUCUGGGUUCAAUCUCUCUCUGCAGACAGUGAAUGCUUCCUACACAGCAGCCUUGCAGCAAAGUUUGAUCUGCUCCUUUCAGCCGGGUCACUUCCCACCAUUGCCCCAGCUCCCUGACUGAUAAGAACUAGCUAACUGGGAAACGGGGGAGGGGAGGGUUUAAAACAGGACUAUAGAUUAUAAAUAUUGUUACAAAUCUGGAGCACUCAAGGACUUCCUUGUUGUCACUCUGCAUGGCCCCUGAGGGCUGCACUGUGACUGUGUGCAUAGGACUUGGCUUCUCCUACCCCAAAAACCUGGGCCUCAAUGACUGGAGCAAAAGGAGAUUCUCCCCUAGAUGUUAGCGGUAUAGAGUCUACACAACUAAGCAUUUCUGAUUCUAUACAGCAAUGCCCUAGAGUGCAAAUAUAUACUAAAUAGUUGAGUACAGUGUUAGUGCUGUUUUAUAAUGGGGAUGAUUCCUCCCUGGGCUCAGUCGUUAAGUAGUCCCAGCCCUGGUAUGGGGCCAUAUCCCCAGGGCUUCCUCCCUGGAGACACUAUCUUCCUACAGCUGGGCUCAGUCCUUUCUCAGUCCCAGCAGCCAGCCAGGAGCUCCUUCAUUGCUCCCCCAGUCCCUGCUAGCAAAUUGUCUUUGGCUCAGUCCUAGCAGCCAGACAGGAGCCUCUUACUCCCCUGAUCCCUGCCCCCACUUAGCUGCCUGUGCUCCUGCUGCUUUUCCAGCCAGGCACAGAGUCCUUUCUUGUCCAGCUCCAAACAGCAACUAACUGAUGAUCUGUUCUGCAGCUCCUUUUAUAUGGCCCUCCUGGCCCCUGAUUGGCCAUUCCAGCAGCCCCUCUGAUUGGUUACUUUCUCGCAACCACUCUAGGCCUCUUGGAGGAUCUCUCCACAGCUCCUUUCCUGGGAUGGGUGUGGCAAACCCUGAGGCCUCCAGCUGGGGUCUUUGGGCCUACUCCACCCCAUCACAGGCUCCCAGAUAACAAAGUCCAAUAAUUUUGGAUCGUGUCCCUGUACUAUAGUCCUAGUCAAACACUUGGAACAUUAGUUCCCUCACCCUGCAUGGAACUUAGGGUGUUUCCCUAAAGCAUAGUUUCUGUCUCUAGGUAUUUAUAGAGCACCAGCACUAUAGAAGCCAGGCACUGUAUUAAUAGGCCUCCUUUCAUGCCCUGUCCCUCCAGGGGGCCCUUCGCUACCUUCUCUCUCCUCCAUGUCAUUAAGUAGCCACAGUGCAACAGCUAAAUCAGAAAGGUCUUCACAGGCUAUUCAUGCUCUGGAGCAGAACGUUUCCUCCUCAUUCAUGAUCUAGAUUGAUUCAGUCUCCCUGGUUUCAGUAAUGCCGGAUAUGCAAUAGCUCCAGCACGGCCACUGUUGAUGGCAAGAUGCUCUCAGGCUUCAUCUCUCUCGGAUCAUCCCUGCGGAAGGUAAACAAUGGGAGCAACGUGAAUAAACUGCCCCAGAGGCAGAGAGGGUUACAGGCUGUUAUACCCUGGGCUGGAUAAAAGGAGAGGACCGGGCCAGGCAACCAGUGUUCUGAGCAUUGUGGGCAUUCACUGGAGCACACUUGGCUCAGGUCACAUUGCUAUCCCCUUCAUUACAAUCAGUAACUCACUUAAUGAAACGAAAACUACACACAACUUGAGUAUAAUGUUUGUGUCAAACUGCUGCAGACUAGCUUAGGCCACACACAUACAACCUAGAGACAGAUUUUAUAGAUAUCUAGGUAUUUAAAUACCUUUGAAAAAUUGCCUCCAGUGAUAUUUUGCAGUUCCCACUUUGACCACUAGAUGCCACAGUUCUUUCACAGGAAUAGAAUUGCCACUACUCCCAGUAGCUAAGGAAGUGGUGGGUCAUAAUAUCACCACAUGGGUAUUUCUGCAGGAUCUGGGACGCGUCUUAUGUUUAGUGCUCGUUAAUAAUGGAUCCUCUUUUCCAUUUCCUUGUUUAAAGCUUAAGGAUGAUUGUGUGAUGAUGCAGAUGGAAACCAAGAACAACUGUGUCCCCUUCUACAUGGAGAACAUAAAUUCAAAGAGAGAUUUUCCCCCUGGUGUUAUAUAUGUCUACAAGCUUUAAACAGAUGCCUUUUGAAAAUUUUUAGUCUCAGGGCCAAAAAUCUUAACAAGACAACUGUAAAGAAACUGAUUGGAUGAACAGGGACUCUGGGGUGAUGGUGCCAUGCAAGGUGGGAGCCCCAUGUAUUUGGAAUCCACCUCAGUAGGUCUUUGGUGGAGAGAAAUUGUUAUUAAAAGAUAACAUCUAAUUACCUCCUCUGUCCUCCCAUUCCCAGGUCUCACAAAAGAAUAUCAGUUUCUCUUUCUCAGCUGAGCAAGAACUUUCUUUGUCCAACAUCGAACCAGCUUCAGUGGUGAUAUGUGAUUACUAUAAAAGAACUGUAGGGAUGGAAACAAACUCUGCAUUUUACCACUGAGGAGGCAAGAGGUCAGCAUACUUGUAUCACGAAUGGAAGAUUACAGCCUAGCUUGGCUGUAAUACGCUGGAAGGAUUUUGCCAAACGUCUUGCUGAGUGCAGCACAGCCUGUGGUCAGACAUCUCACCUGGAAAGCAGCUGCAAGUCUGCAGCGAUUAGAGCAACAUGACAAACAUGGAAUGUGAACUGAGGAAGGAAGCCGGACAGCUUAUUUCCCUCUGACUAUAAACUGUUAGUAAGUGUUACACCUACAGUCUGACAGACCACACGCUGUGACUGUGCGGUAGGUGAGUUGGCUAGAUUCAGCUCUAAUGUGUAGGUCCCCUCCACGAACUCCCUCCAGCUCUAUAAGACCACACGCUACCCUGGUUCCACGGUCAGACUGAGAACAGUAAUUGGUCAAAGCAUGCAACAUUUCCCAUAAUAAACUUCUCAAACUCCA
Molecule: long non-coding RNA, 5547 nt
Organism: Dermochelys coriacea (leatherback sea turtle)
Lineage: Eukaryota; Metazoa; Chordata; Testudines; Dermochelyidae
Exons: 7
Source: RefSeq, a predicted model, not a curated record